CGGGACGGGUGAGUAGCGCGUGGGUAACCUACCCUGUACACACGGAUAACAUACCGAAAGGUAUGCUAAUACGGGAUAAUAUAUUUGAGAGGCAUCUCUUGAAUAUCAAAGGUGAGCCAGUACAGGAUGGACCCGCGUCUGAUUAGCUAGUUGGUAAGGUAACGGCUUACCAAGGCGACGAUCAGUAGCCGACCUGAGAGGGUGAUCGGCCACAUUGGAACUGAGACACGGUCCAA
This 236-nucleotide ribosomal RNA is filed under the name uncultured bacterium. RNAcentral's name for it is "partial 16S ribosomal RNA". It matches the Rfam family "Bacterial small subunit ribosomal RNA", at positions 100 to 334 of the family's 1533-position model. The record is from RNAcentral.